This 447-nucleotide long non-coding RNA is filed under the name Medicago truncatula (barrel medic). Its description in RNAcentral is "long non-coding RNA (MTRU_LNC001206)". The record is from RNAcentral. Lineage: Eukaryota; Viridiplantae; Streptophyta; Magnoliopsida; Fabales; Fabaceae.
UAUAUAUUAUGGCGUAUCACAACCAAGACAACCCACUCCACCAUUUCACAGAACAACAACAACCAACCUCCGAUCCUCACCACUCUUUCCAAACUGCACCUAACUGGCUCAACAACGCCCUUCUUCGCAACCUCGACACCAACGUCAACGCCACUGCCACCAACAACAACAACGGUUCCCAAUCCUCCGGUCAAUGGCUCUCUCGUCCUAUCCUCCACCGAAACCAUAGCGAAGUCAUCGACGACGUCACCGGCGCCGGCAUGAAGGCGGAGGAAAGCGGCGAGGCAACGGCGGAGGGAGUGAUGAACUGGCAGAAAGCGAAACACAAAGGUGAAAUAAUGGCGCACCCGUUGUAUGAACAGCUUCUAUCAGCACACGUGUCGUGUUUAAGAAUCGCCACGCCGGUUGACCAGUUGCCCAGGAUCGAUGCUCAGCUGGCAGAGUCGC